Enterococcus saccharolyticus is the source of this 127-nucleotide regulatory RNA element. It matches the Rfam family "Ribosomal protein L20 leader". Rfam says of the family: This family is a putative r-protein leader autoregulatory structure found in B. subtilis and other low-GC Gram-positive bacteria. Lineage: Bacteria; Bacillati; Bacillota; Bacilli; Lactobacillales; Enterococcaceae. The record is from Rfam.
AAAUGAAAGCAGAAGCACCCGCUUCUCGCCUGAGUGAAUAAAUUGCUGGGCAGAAUAGGAUUCCGACUAAUUGAUUAGCUGGGGUACGCGCGGGUUCUUGUAGAAGAACUCGUUUUUUUAUUGCCAU